This 384-nucleotide ribosomal RNA is filed under the name uncultured bacterium. RNAcentral describes it as "bacterial SSU rRNA". It matches the Rfam family "Bacterial small subunit ribosomal RNA", at positions 29 to 416 of the family's 1533-position model. The record is from RNAcentral.
AUUGAACGCUGGCGGAAUGCUUUACACAUGCAAGUCGAGCGGCAGCGCGGGGCAACCUGGCGGCGAGCGGCGAACGGGUGAGUAAUGCAUCGGAACAUGUCCAUGUCGUGGGGGAUAGCCCGGCGAAAGCCGGAUUAAUACCGCAUACGUCCGAGAGGAGAAAGUGGGGGACCCGCAAGGGCCUCACGCGAUUGGGUUGGCCGAUGUCCGAUUAGCUAGUUGGGAGGUAAAGGCUCACCAAGGCGAUGAUCGGUAGCUGGUCUGAGAGGAUGAUCAGCCACACUGGGACUGAGACACGGCCCAGACUCCUACGGGAGGCAGCAGUGGGAAUUUUGGACAAUGGGGCAACCCUGAUCCAGCCAUUCCGCGUGAGUGAAGAAGGCC